Molecule: RNA transcript, 2316 nt
Organism: Monodelphis domestica (gray short-tailed opossum)
Lineage: Eukaryota; Metazoa; Chordata; Mammalia; Didelphimorphia; Didelphidae
Source: RefSeq, a predicted model, not a curated record
GGCGCGGCAUGCCGGGAACAACGAGAGAAAUUCCGCCCAUCGUACCAGGCACCCAACCACUGCUGCCGUCGCCGCCAUCUUGUGUCGCGUUUGAGAUGGCCCCGCCUCCUGGGGGGCGGGACUCGGAGAUUUUGCCCUGACGCGACCCCGACCCGGCACCGGGGUCAGCUCGGGUCCCAGCUGCUCUGUGUUUGGAGUUGAGAAGAAGGGAAGAAAGGAAAGAAAUGGAUGCAGACAAGCAAGAGAAAGGACUUUGCACAAAGAUCAAUUUGAUGGAUUUACCAUAUGCUGCAGAACUGUUUUGUUCUGGAAUUCAGGGAACAUAGAAAAGGGGACACAGGGAUCAGCCAAGGGCUUUUUUGGUUUCCUGUCUCUGAGAGAACUUGAAGCUAAAACUUCCAGCUGCUUGCAUCUAUGUGAGCAAAGUAAGAGUUUGCCUUUUUUUUUUCCCCAUGGAGCCAAAACUACUUGUCCUGGUGUCCUGGUGUCCUGGUGUAGAGAUCCUACCUACUUUGACAUCUACUUUGCCAUUUAACCCUGUUCCUGUGUCCUGAGAGAGCAUCCUGACUACUGUGAAGAUUUCUGAAGCAAGCCAGUAAACUGACUGAGGGGACUGACUGAAGAGGACUGACUGAAGCCAUCUUGGGCCCAACUUGAUGAGGAUUUAAACCCUCUCAUAAAGGGUUCAACUUAACUACUCUGAAGAACUAUAAAUACUUAACCAAACAUUAUUUGGGAGGAUUAGUUGGUCAGGUAGUUAGAUAGCUGGGGAUUUCCAGACAAUGUAGUGAAUAGGCAGCUGGAAUUAAGGGAAGGUGACCCUUUGCAGGGCCCUUAGAAAGAGGGGGAGGAUUACUUAGAAAUUUCUUAGAUUAAGGAUUCCUAUUUCCUAAUCCUCCCAUCCUGUUACAGUGAAUAACAAUAAACCCUGUCUUUGGUUUUUAACCUUAGUCUAAGAGUCAAAUAAACAUUCUGGGCCCCUGAGAGGCAUGUAAGGGCAUAUCCUCACUGUGGGGUAUCAAGUAACCAGCAACCCUUGACAUCAUACUUCUACAUCUUUACCAUCUAUAUUAUUCCCUUAUUUCAGUACUAGCCCUAGAGAUGAUAAGAUAUAGGUCAGUGACUUCAAGGAAAUUACAUGAACAAGGAAAUAGAAGUGUCAAAAUACACUCCCAGCUUCUUGUUCUCCAUGAAAAAUCUCUUGGUUUAAAGCUUUGAUGUCUUCUGACACUUGGAUACUUCUGCUCAGAGAUGUUAAACUUACCUAGCUUUAGACAGCAAGUAUCCUUUAAAACUCCUUAAAAAUAUGCUGAAUCAGAUUAAAAUACAAAUGGGGGAAAGGGGCAGCUCUAUGACAGUGCAUAGAGCAGGCCUGGAACUGACAUGGGCAUUGUACUCCCAGAAACUCAGGAAAACUAUUAUCAGGGAAAUUCCUUUGCUCCUUUACGUCCUCUUGACUCCUGGCCUAAAACAUCCAAUGACCCCUAUAGGACCCUGAGAUGAUUGUCUUCCUUUGAUCCUCCUUUGGAUUCAAGAUGGACAGAGAGAUGCACCUCCAGGCUUCACCUCAAUACUAUCAGGCAAUAUCUCAGACAUCUGCCUGUUCCCUAAAACUAAGGAAUCUUUUAUGAGGGUCAUUCCCUAUGUCUCCAGGCAGACCCAGGUCAGAUAACCAACCCCCUGACCAAAUGCCUGAGGAUUUACCACUCUAGAGUCACAUCUAUACAAUGACACAGCAUCUAUUGUAAAGAGUAUAAAAUCCCCAGAAUUUAUGUCAUCUCGGGGACAGCUUUUCCAUCUAUGCUGUCCUCCCAGGAAAACAGCUUUUCCAUCCAUGCUGUCCUCCCAAGGAGCAGCCUUCCAUCUUGCUGUUCCACCUGUACUAUCCUCCUGGCCAUUCUCAACAUUACUUUCUAAAUUAAUAAAUUUCUCUUUUUAUUUUUAAGCUAAGUUUCAGUCUUGCAUUCUUGCAAAAAGGUAUCCUUCCCAAAUGCAAGGGGUGCACCACUCUUUACCCCUAUAACAGAAUCAGAAGUUCUUGGGUUCAAAUUUGGCCUCAGAUAAUUCCUAGCUGUGUGACCCUAGGCUAGUCACUUAACCUGCAUUGUCUAGCCCUUGCCUCUCUUUAGAAUUGAUACUAAGAAGGUAAGGGUUUGUUGUCAUUUUUUAAUGUAAUUGGGGAAAUGUUUAUCAAAAUUCAAAUGUAGUACAACAUAGAUAAUGUUAAUUUGUGAUUUUCUAUGUCAAUAUGCAAGAGGGAUCCUUUCUAUUUGACUUGGACACUGCUGCUCUUAAUAAAAUCAGUCUUUUAGCAUG